This 1911-nucleotide long non-coding RNA is filed under the name Monomorium pharaonis (pharaoh ant). Its description in RNAcentral is "uncharacterized LOC118647921". The record is from RNAcentral. Lineage: Eukaryota; Metazoa; Arthropoda; Insecta; Hymenoptera; Formicidae.
ACGACGCACGAGUUUUACAGCCUCGUCGCGCGGUCACAGAUGGGAAGGCGCGAUAUAAAAACUGGGUGCGCGUAUUCGUCCCGCAGGAAUGCGGUUUACAUACGUUCCCCUUAUUCACGUUAUAUUCACGUCUUUCCUCCCCGGCGAAUUCUUACUCCCUGCCUUUCAACAACCGAGCUCCUUCAUCGCCGCUCUCCGCCGCUGUAUAUGUAUUCGCGCAUAUGUUCCUUUUUCGAAGAUCCGAUUUUAUAUAAAACUUACAUGUAGCGUCUGACAAAUAUCCCAUUUAUUAUACCUUUUUUCAUUUUCAUACGAGCUAAUUCGGCGUUUAGAUGAUCAUCAGUAAAUAGUCAGUUACUACGUAUAGCUAUAAAUUAUAAUGUGUAAUUAGCCAAGUUCUUUUCGAAAUACAGAUUUAGGCUAAUUACAGACUUAUCAUGAUUAAUACAAUUUUAUCUGACUUUGUAAUUAAUCUCGGCGAUUUUUAGGCUCUAUGUUGCUGUAUUGCUGUAUUCAUGUACGACUAUCGCGAAAAACCUCGGGUUUUAGGUGCCAAGCGCGGAACGAAACAAGCGUUAAGCGUUUUCGGUCACGCUCGCGCGACGUCGCGGAUGAAGAUAUAACCCGGAGUUGGUAAAAUGGUAACCCGGUAAUGUAGUAACGUAGACCCAGCUGACUUUCGUAAGCGGAUCACGCGCCCUGCUGAGUGCUUUACGGCAUCACUUUUUUCCCGCGCGCCCACUUCUUCUUCAUCUCUUUCGCCGCCACCGCCUUUUUCCCGGUCCUCAGCCUUCACCUUCUCUCGUCGGGGAUCAUUUUUACUUUGUCAGGUUCAUAUUGGACCUUAUCUUGAGCCUUUUAAAUACGACGCGUAAUUCGCGCACAUAAUUCCGUCCUGAAUCAUGCAGAAUUUUUCCUUAUUCCACUCGCAAUUUCAACAAAGAAUUUGAUUAAAAUAAUUAAAAAAUAUAUUAUAUCCGCGAUAUAUUUUAAAAAAUCUAAACUUUAUACGAAUAAAUACGAAAAUUCUUUUAUAUUGUAAAAUCUACAUCGCAGAUAACGUAAUAUAAUGUAGCACUUGGAAUAUAAUUUAGAAAAGAGACGAAUUGACAAAAGUGCGUGAUUUUUGUUUUUGAUACAAUCUCAAUAUGCAAGAGACAAAAUCCAAUUAUUUUAUUAGUAAAAAAAAUAACAACAAGAAUUGAGUAUCAACCGAUUACUUCCCGUAACCGUUUAACAUAGAAACGCCAUUAAUCCUCCAGUAUUAUAGUAACCCAGAAAUAUAGCUGGACGCCGAGCUAUCAUCGGCAAAGGAGCAGCCACGAGGCGAGCACCGGGCGACGGGCAGAAAUGCAGGGCAGGGAGAAGAGAUGUGAGGGAGAAGAAAGGAGGAUAAGGGAACGGGACAGGAACAAAACGAGGAGAACGAGGAGGCAGACGCUCGCAGUAUGUAGACACGCGCGCACGCGGCCGUAGUGGGUAUGCGGUGGCUUGGGUAGGGAACGAGGAGCCGCGCCAUAAAACACGGGGAAUCCGGGGCUUUAUUUUAUUUCAUUCAAUUCUUCACGGGCGACAACCGCCCCGGGAAUAUGGAAUCAAGUUGUUACGUCGCCUUACGGAGGAUGACGAGAUCGAGGCGGCGGAGAGUAGUAGAUAUCGAAACGAACUAUCGCGCGCGCUUCCCACUGAGGGGUCACAACUGUCUAUCAAUGGCAAGUGCGCACAGUCAACGCGAAAUUUACGACCUUGCCAUCUACGGGCCACGGAGCACCACAUUUUUCUUCAUCGGCGGAUGACGAUAGCGACGUUGGCGACGAUAGAAUGAGCUGAUGACCGAUAAAAUGUAUGAAUCGAUAACAGAAACAAAUAAACAAAUUUGAUUUUUUCCUAGAUAAAUAAUUUUUAAAAAUA